AGGGAUAACGAGAGCUUGUGGAGAGAACUGGACUCACUGAAACAGAAAUAUCAGCAGCAGCACAAAAUCAAACGUAAGAUUAUAACGUUCAUCAUCAACAUCCUUCAGUCAAAUGGGAUAAAAUGUUGCAAAAGAACAGGAAGUUUGUUCUCCUAAAGCACACAAAAUGUUCUCAUAGUCAGUGAGAAAUGUGAUUUGAAGAGGAAAGUGUGAUCUAAUUCAUGACUUCAUCGAACACAAUGCUGUUUAGUUAUAAAAAGAGCUUGAAAGAUAGAAAGCGUUCCCGUAACUCAAACUACAUGUUUAUCUCCCGCUUCCCCAACUCUGUCCUCCAUGGAGCUGGCGUUGAACUUGAGUCUGAGGAAAUACUCACUGAAAGCUUAGAUAGCAAACUGAUCUGUGUGCCAUUUUCUCUUAUAAUUACUGUAUCACAGAUCUCUGUUUUAUCAAUAACUGGAGCAGAUUCUUUUUCUUAUGAAAAAUGUUUUUGUUGUUGUGGUUAUUUUUCUUUCUAGAGAGACAAACCUCACUGCUUUAGUAACAGCUAACAAGCUUGUAUAGUCUUAUGUGUUUGAUUUCAUGUUCAUGAUCGAUGCUUAGUCCUGGCUGCCACAUCUCUGCUGUUAAAGACUCUGACACAAAAAGAGAAACCAGACACAGUUACACCGCAGAAGAGCCUGAAAUAAACUGCAGAGCGGGAGCAGGAGAGCUGUGAUAGUGGAGAGUUUUCAGAUAUAUCACCAUCCUUCAGCAACACUACACUGCCUUUAGAGUGCUCUUUUCUCAUUUAAAACUCGAAUGCAUCUGAUAUUGUGCUGUGGUGCUUGAUAGUAAAAGAAGUAUCUGAAACAGACAACUGUUGAUAGUUCUGCCAUUUAAUGAAAGGAUCAGUAUCAUUAUACGGCAAGCUGAUAUAUGUCAAUUGUAAAUGAUGUAAAUCAUGUACAUUUUCUGUUGUGAUUUUUAUCCAUCAGUGAACUCUAAACUCUAACUCUAGUGAUUUCACAACAAACUUUAGUCUAUUAGCAGAAUUGACCAUGUAGCGUGAAGCAAUAGACCAAACUGACAGAAAGCACUUUGAAUCAUCUGUCAGUGUUUUAAAUAAUUCAGUAAAUGACGGAAAUGUUUCUGUUAAUGCAACUUCUGCAAUAAAUGCCGUUUUAAAGUCA
Long non-coding RNA from Carassius auratus (goldfish), 1169 nucleotides. RefSeq lists it as uncharacterized. Lineage: Eukaryota; Metazoa; Chordata; Actinopteri; Cypriniformes; Cyprinidae. The transcript is spliced from 3 exons. The record is from RefSeq and is a predicted model, not a curated record.